GUGUUCGGGUUGUCAUGCCAAUGGCACUGCCCGGUAGCUAAAUGCGGAAGAGAUAAGUGCUGAAAGCAUCUAAGCACGAAACUUGCCCCGAGAUGAGUUCUCCCUGACUCCUUGAGAGUCCUGAAGGAACGUUGAAGACGACGACGUUGAUAGGCCGGGUGUGUAAGCGCAGCGAUGCGUUGAGCUAACCGGUACUAAUGAACCGUGAGGCUUAACCUUACAACGCCGAAG
RNAcentral lists this ribosomal RNA (231 nucleotides) under Escherichia coli. RNAcentral describes it as "partial 23S ribosomal RNA". It matches the Rfam family "Bacterial large subunit ribosomal RNA", at positions 2712 to 2925 of the family's 2925-position model. The record is from RNAcentral. Lineage: Bacteria; Pseudomonadati; Pseudomonadota; Gammaproteobacteria; Enterobacterales; Enterobacteriaceae.